This 253-nucleotide ribosomal RNA is filed under the name uncultured bacterium. RNAcentral describes it as "partial 16S ribosomal RNA". It matches the Rfam family "Bacterial small subunit ribosomal RNA", at positions 524 to 776 of the family's 1533-position model. The record is from RNAcentral.
AACGUAGGUACCGAGCGUUAUCCGGAUUUACUGGGCGUAAAGCGCGUUCAGGCGGUUUGGCAAGUCGGGCAUGAAAUCUCUCGGCUCAACCGGGAGAGGUUGUCCGAUACUUCCAAACUUGAGGGCAGUAGAGGGUGGUGGAAUUCCGGGUGUAGUGGUGAAAUGCGUAGAUAUCCGGAGGAACACCAGUGGCGAAAGCGGCCACCUGGACUGCACCUGACGCUGACACGCGAAAGCUAGGGGAGCGAACGGG